UACGUAGGGGGCAAGCGUUGUCCGGAUUCAUUGGGCGUAAAGAGCGUGUAGGCGGCCAGGUAGGUCGGUUGUGAAAACUGGAGGCUCAACCUUCAGAGGUCGACCGAAACCAUCUGGCUAGAGUCCGGGAGAGGAGAGUGGAAUUCCUGGUGUAGCGGUGAAAUGCGCAGAUAUCAGGAAGAACACCCGUGGCGAAGGCAGCUCUCUGGGACGGUACUGACGCUGAGACGCGAAAGCGUGGGGAGCGAACAGG
This 253-nucleotide ribosomal RNA is filed under the name uncultured bacterium. RNAcentral's name for it is "partial 16S ribosomal RNA". It matches the Rfam family "Bacterial small subunit ribosomal RNA", at positions 524 to 776 of the family's 1533-position model. The record is from RNAcentral.